UCGCUAGCCNUGCGAGUCAUAUGUUCUUCGUGAACAUGGCGUACUGCUCAGUAACACGUGGAUAACCUGCCCUUGGGUCCGGCAUAACCCCGGGAAACUGGGGAUAAUUCCGGAUAACGCAUAUAUGCUGGAAUGCUUUCUGCGUAAAAUGGAUUCGUCUGCCCAAGGAUGGGUCUGCGGCCUAUCAGGUAGUAGUGGGUGUAAUGUACCUACUAGCCGACGACGGGUACGGGUUGUGAGAGCAAGAGCCCGGAGAUGGAUUCUGAGACAUGAAUCCAGGCCCUACGGGGCGCAGCAGGCGCGAAAACUUUACAAUGCGGGAAACCGUGAUAAGGGGACACCGAGUGCCAGCAUCAUAUGCUGGCUGUCCGGGUGUGUAAAAUACACCCGUUAGCAAGGGCCGGGCAAGACCGGUGCCAGCCGCCGCGGUAACACCGGCGGCCCGAGCGGUGAUCGUGAUUAUUGGGUCUAAAGGGUCCGUAGCCGGUUUGGUCAGUCCUCCGGGAAAUCUGAUAGCUCAACUAUUAGGCUUUCGGGGGAUACUGCCAGGCUUGGAACCGGGAGAGGUAAGAGGUACUACAGGGGUAGGAGUGAAAUCUUGUAAUCCCUGUGGGACCACCUGUGGCGAAGGCGUCUUACCAGAACGGGUUCGACGGUGAGGGACGAAAGCUGGGGGCACGAACCGGAUUAGAUACCCGGGUAGUCCCAGCCGUAAACGAUGCUCGCUAGGUGUCAGGCAUGGCGCGACCGUGUCUGGUGCCGCAGGGAAGCCGUGAAGCGAGCCACCUGGGAAGUACGGCCGCAAGGCUGAAACUUAAAGGAAUUGGCGGGGGAGCACAACAACGGGUGGAGCCUGCGGUUUAAUUGGACUCAACGCCGGACAACUCACCGGGGGCGACAGCAAUAUGUAGGCCAAGCUGAAGACUUUGCCUGA
Molecule: ribosomal RNA, 934 nt
Filed under: uncultured archaeon
Lineage: Archaea
Description: bacterial SSU rRNA
Rfam family: Archaeal small subunit ribosomal RNA
Source: RNAcentral